Molecule: ribosomal RNA, 262 nt
Filed under: uncultured bacterium
Lineage: Bacteria
Description: partial 16S ribosomal RNA
Rfam family: Bacterial small subunit ribosomal RNA
Source: RNAcentral
GUGCUCGAAAGAGAGCCGUAACACAGGUGCUGCAUGGCUGUCGUCAGCUCGUGUCGUGAGAUGUUGGGUUAAGUCCCGCAACGAGCGCAACCCUUGUCAUUAGUUGCUACGAAAGGGCACUCUAAUGAGACUGCCGGUGACAAACCGGAGGAAGGUGGGGAUGACGUCAAGUCCUCAUGGCCCUUAUGGGUAGGGCUUCACACGUCAUACAAUGGUACAUACAGAGGGCCGCCAACCCGCGAGGGGGAGCUAAUCCCAGAAA